GAGGACGGUCGACAGUAGAAUCCCGAGAAUAUUUGGAGCAGCCUGAUAGAUGACUGAAGAAGCUCAUCGUUGGAGAAGUCCGGGAGAUGCGGCAGGGGUUCGUCCGUCGGGGGAACCUGGUCGACUCUUGCGGAAGAAGCUGUGGGAGUUUAUCCGUCAGCAGAACUUGGAAAUAUUGCGGAAGCUCAACCGUCGGAGAGGUUCGAAAAUAUGUCACUCAAGAUCGGACGC
Molecule: long non-coding RNA, 231 nt
Filed under: Elaeis guineensis (African oil palm)
Lineage: Eukaryota; Viridiplantae; Streptophyta; Magnoliopsida; Arecales; Arecaceae
Description: long non-coding RNA (EGUI_LNC014440)
Source: RNAcentral